GAGUUUGAUCAUGGCUCAGAUUGAACGCUGGCGGCAGGCCUAACACAUGCAAGUCGAGCGGAUGAAGGGAGCUUGCUCCUGGAUUCAGCGGCGGACGGGUGAGUAAUGCCUAGGAAUCUGCCUGGUAGUGGGGGAUAACGUCCGGAAACGGGCGCUAAUACCGCAUACGUCCUGAGGGAGAAAGUGGGGGAUCUUCGGACCUCACGCUAUCAGACGAGCCUAGGUCGGAUUAGCUAGUUGGUGGGGUAAAGGCCUACCAAGGCGACGAUCCGUAACUGGUCUGAGAGGAUGAUCAGUCACACUGGAACUGAGACACGGUCCAGACUCCUACGGGAGGCAGCAGUGGGGAAUAUUGGACAAUGGGCGAAAGCCUGAUCCAGCCAUGCCGCGUGUGUGAAGAAGGUCUUCGGAUUGUAAAGCACUUUAAGUUGGGAGGAAGGGCAGUAAGUUAAUACCUUGCUGUUUGACGUUACCAACAGAAUAAGCACCGGCUAACUUCGU
RNAcentral lists this ribosomal RNA (501 nucleotides) under uncultured microorganism. Its description in RNAcentral is "bacterial SSU rRNA". It matches the Rfam family "Bacterial small subunit ribosomal RNA", at positions 9 to 506 of the family's 1533-position model. The record is from RNAcentral.